UACGAGGGGGGCAAGUGUUAUCCGGAUUCACUGGGUUUAAAGGGUGCGUAGGCGGAUUUGUAAGUCCGUGGUGAAAACUCUAAGCUUAACUUGGAAACUGCCAUGGAUACUAUAAGUCUUGAAUAUUGUGGAGGUUAGCGGAAUAUGUCAUGUAGCGGUGAAAUGCAUAGAUAUGACAUAGAACACCAAUUGCGAAGGCAGCUGGCUACACAAAUAUUGACGCUGAUGCACGAAAGCGUGGGGAUCAAACAGG
This 253-nucleotide ribosomal RNA is filed under the name uncultured bacterium. RNAcentral describes it as "partial 16S ribosomal RNA". It matches the Rfam family "Bacterial small subunit ribosomal RNA", at positions 524 to 776 of the family's 1533-position model. The record is from RNAcentral.